AGCAUUAUGUCUGAAAAAGUAAUAAACUGUAAAUUUAUUUAUAAAAAUGUAUAAUUUUUUAAUGCUA
RNAcentral lists this transfer RNA (67 nucleotides) under Encyrtus infelix. RNAcentral's name for it is "tRNA-Tyr". Lineage: Eukaryota; Metazoa; Arthropoda; Insecta; Hymenoptera; Encyrtidae. The record is from RNAcentral.